RNAcentral lists this ribosomal RNA (253 nucleotides) under uncultured bacterium. RNAcentral's name for it is "partial 16S ribosomal RNA". It matches the Rfam family "Bacterial small subunit ribosomal RNA", at positions 524 to 776 of the family's 1533-position model. The record is from RNAcentral.
UACGUAGGGUGCAAGCGUUAAUCGGAAUUACUGGGCGUAAAGCGUGCGCAGGCGGUUUUGUAAGUCUGUCUUGAAAUCCCCGGGCUCAACCUGGGAAUUGCGAUGGAGACUGCAAGGCUAGAAUCUGGCAGAGGGGGGUAGAAUUCCACGUGUAGCAGUGAAAUGCGUAGAGAUGUGGAGGAACACCGAUGGCGAAGGCAGCCCCCUGGGUCAAGAUUGACGCUCAUGCACGAAAGCGUGGGGAGCAAACAGG